RNAcentral lists this ribosomal RNA (618 nucleotides) under Klebsiella pneumoniae. RNAcentral's name for it is "bacterial SSU rRNA". It matches the Rfam family "Bacterial small subunit ribosomal RNA", at positions 1 to 606 of the family's 1533-position model. The record is from RNAcentral. Lineage: Bacteria; Pseudomonadati; Pseudomonadota; Gammaproteobacteria; Enterobacterales; Enterobacteriaceae.
ACUUAAAUUGAAGAGUUUGAUCAUGGCUCAGAUUGAACGCUGGCGGCAGGCCUAACACAUGCAAGUCGAGCGGUAGCACAGAGAGCUUGCUCUCGGGUGACGAGCGGCGGACGGGUGAGUAAUGUCUGGGAAACUGCCUGAUGGAGGGGGAUAACUACUGGAAACGGUAGCUAAUACCGCAUAACGUCGCAAGACCAAAGUGGGGGACCUUCGGGCCUCAUGCCAUCAGAUGUGCCCAGAUGGGAUUAGCUAGUAGGUGGGGUAACGGCUCACCUAGGCGACGAUCCCUAGCUGGUCUGAGAGGAUGACCAGCCACACUGGAACUGAGACACGGUCCAGACUCCUACGGGAGGCAGCAGUGGGGAAUAUUGCACAAUGGGCGCAAGCCUGAUGCAGCCAUGCCGCGUGUGUGAAGAAGGCCUUCGGGUUGUAAAGCACUUUCAGCGGGGAGGAAGGCGUUAAGGUUAAUAACCUUGGCGAUUGACGUUACCCGCAGAAGAAGCACCGGCUAACUCCGUGCCAGCAGCCGCGGUAAUACGGAGGGUGCAAGCGUUAAUCGGAAUUACUGGGCGUAAAGCGCACGCAGGCGGUCUGUCAAGUCGGAUGUGAAAUCCCCGG